Molecule: long non-coding RNA, 2613 nt
Organism: Canis lupus familiaris (dog)
Lineage: Eukaryota; Metazoa; Chordata; Mammalia; Carnivora; Canidae
Exons: 2
Source: RefSeq, a predicted model, not a curated record
CUGUUUCAAAGCCAUAGCUCACCUUGUGCAUUUGCUCUUUGUGGAUAGCUGCUCACGUACACAGGCACGUGUAUGCAUGCACAUAUGCUCACAGUCUCACACUUACCCACAGACAUGCACACACUGUCGCACACUUGCACACGCUGGCACACACACUGUCUUCCACAUAUGUGCACGCACACACACACCCUUCAUUCUUGCAGCGUGUCUGGUUCUUUCAGGCUCCAGGACAUAAGUAAUAACAUCAACAUGAACUGCAUAGCCCUUAAGAAAUUGCUAGAAAAAAGUCUUUAACCGUGGGAAGGAAAAUUUUGAGAGAAUGUGAACACUCAUUUCCCAUGAGCAUAGAAUAAGGAAAUGGGCAUAAACUUCAGCAGAAUGAAAUUAGGAUCGAGUUAAGAGGGAUUUUCUAAUCCAGAGGAGUCAAGAUCUUUGGAUUCUAAGGGGUCUUCUCUGCUAAUUUCAAAGAAAGCAUUAGACAGCAUUCUGUCUGAGAGAAAGACAGUGCUGAGAGCAGCACAGUUCAGAACCCGAUGUCUCUCAGAGGACUUUUCAAAAUGCCUUUUCCCCAAGACUCUGUGAAGGGCAUAAAAAACAAGCUGUGGCUUCUCAAACCUGGUCUCAGAAAACCCAGGUUGUGCUGUAGGGCUCCAGUCUCUGGUUCACACCCCUCCUGGCAUCUGAGGAGCAGAAAGACCUUGGGCAUCAGGCAAAAGCCACAUUUCCCCAAGGUCAGUACAAUUAACACCUCUCUUGACCGCAGAUGUGUGAAAAGAGAUGCCCCAAAUGAGCCUCCGAUUAACAUUCUUAGCAAAGGGUCAGACUGCUUAUUUGGGCAGACGGGAGAGCCUGAGUGGAGCUGAGGAAGAGCAUUCUGCUGCCUGGGCCGCAGCUGCCAACUACUCUCCUGCCCGCCCCCCCCACCUCUGUCAGCUGCUCUGGCCUCAAGCCCAUCCUCUUUCCCCACACUGGGGGCUGGGAGCCUGCUGAGAGCAAUCCUCACCUACUAAUCCUCAGACGCAGAACAUUCUACCAACGGUGAAGCAACGCUGACAUCUCCCGAGAUUUUUCUAAGGAACCCUUCGGUGGGCACAAGUACAGGAGGCGGCUUGCACCCACCUACAGGAGCCCGCUGCCCACCGAGGCCUAGAGCCGGCCUGAGCACCGGGCUCCUCCCCUCUCCGCACCUGCUCACUCCCUGAGGCCAUCCCUCUGCCUCGGCCUUUGCCUCCUCCUCCAAAGGGGGUCACUUAUGCCGGGGCCCUGACCGCGCAGGGCAGGGCAGCUGCGCCACUUCACAGCCUCCCCUCCUGGGGCUCGAUCCGGGGGCUCACGCGGGGCCCUCCUGGGUCCCACGGGCAGAGCCAGCCUCUCUCUGGCGAGGCUGAAGGGCCCUUCCCCACCGACAGUGCCGAACCGAGCCUGGCAAGAUGAGGCCUUGGCUCUCCUUUUCUUCUUUCAGAAAACACGCGAGUCCUAUCCGUUGUUCUCGGCUCCCUGGCCGCUGGCCAAGAGGCCACAGAGGAGGAACGCCCCGCACAGCCGUCUGUUCCGUGGCCCCCUGCACCCGCCCACGUCGGGGGAGGGCCCCGCCGCGGUGCCGCUCCUCCGGGGACAGCGGCCCUGAGCCGCCCCGGCCGCCGAGUUCCGGCUUCUGCUGGGCGAAAAGGGAUCUCGGAGAGCGGGAGGGCGCCGGCUACGGAGGGAGCGCGGCUCUCUGAACGGCGGGCUGCGGAUGAGGUGGAGGAGGAACGCUGGAAACUCCGUUUACUUUAUGUUAAAUUUCGCCAUUUAAAAGUUUGCACUGUGUAAUGCACAUACUUAAUUCAACUUAGAAGUAAACACACAUAGGCUGGGGCAGAAUGUUCAGGAAUGCUCUGGCACGGAAAUGUUAUCACACAGUUCGCAGUCCUCUGACAAACGGUUGCGCUGUUUGCCACGGUUGUGAACGGGGUGAAAUUCUCCAACUGCUCUAAUGAAUUGUGGGGAGAGGCGGGGAAGGUGUGGCCACGCUCCCAAGGGAACCCGGCUGGGAGGUCUGCACUUUCUCAGCGGCGCCAGGCAGCCCGAGGCGCCAGGGGAGGAGAGAGCUCACACCUGCUCAGCCUCCACACCUUGCACUCAGCACUUCCCUGAGCAUCUCCUGCUUCCAUCCUGGAAGCCAAUGGACAGAAACCAAUCCCUCUUCUCGUUGGAACACGCCUGGGAGAUCAAGGAGCGGGAGGAGCGAGCCCAGUCUCCCCCAGAUUCUGUUCAUACAAAGCGAUCCUCCGUGAACUGGAAGAGCACUGCGCAGGCUCCCGAGCCGGCAGCCCCGCAGAGGAAGAGGCCCAGCUGCCAGCUCCCUCUGCAGUGAUGUCCGUGCUGCCUGGAUUGCUUUCUCCUUGAGUCCGGCAUCAAACUGGGUAGCAGGGCUGACACUUGGAGGUCAAGACUAACAUUGAAAGUGGCUUUGAGGAACGCCUGGGUGGCUCAGCAGUCUGCGGUCGGCUCAGGUCCCGGGGCCGGGGAUGGAGUCCCAUAUCAGGCUCCUUGCAGGAGGCCUACCUUUUCCCUCUGCCUGUGUCUCUGCCUCUCUCUCUGUGUCUCUCGUGAUUAAAUAAAUAAAAUCUU